GCAGAUAUGGCCGAGUGGUUAAGGCGUCUGACUCGAAAUCAGUUUCCAUCUUGGAGCGUAGGUUCGAAUCCUACUAUAUGCG
Non-coding RNA from Daphnia pulex (common water flea), 82 nucleotides. The record is from Rfam. NCBI's taxonomy places the organism in Eukaryota, Metazoa, Arthropoda, Branchiopoda, Diplostraca, Daphniidae.